This 398-nucleotide ribosomal RNA is filed under the name uncultured Bacteroidota bacterium. RNAcentral's name for it is "uncultured Bacteroidetes bacterium partial 16S ribosomal RNA". The stretch from base 1 to 314 matches the Rfam family "Bacterial small subunit ribosomal RNA", at positions 86 to 390 of the family's 1533-position model. Lineage: Bacteria; Pseudomonadati; Bacteroidota. The record is from RNAcentral.
UGGUGGCGACCGGCGCACGGGAGCCCCCACGCGAUAUAGAACUUACCUUUUACAGAGGGAUAGCCCUUUACAAAUGAAGAUUAAUACCCUCAUAGCAUUGAAAUUUGGCAUCAAAUUUUAAUUAAAGAUUUAUCGGUAAAAGAUGGCUAUGCGUCCUAUUAGCUAGAUGGUGAGGUAACGGCUUCACCAUGGAAACAAUAGGCGGGGGUCCUGAGAAGGGAGAUCCCCCCCACUGGUACUGAGACACGGACCACAACUCCCUACGGGAGGCAGCAGGGGAGGAAUAUUGGUGAAUGGGAGGCAAUUCUGACCCCCCCCCCUGCCGCGGGGAAGGAAAAAAGGGCCCUAUGGAAUUGAAAAACGUGGUUUUUUUUCCGGGAAAAAAAAAACCUCCCGAA